AAUUUUUUUCCGUUUAUGGCCUCAGAAUGUUGACUACUUCUGCGAACAGUAUACCACUAUUGAGGUCAUUUGUGUCUUUUUAUGUAAAAUUACUACUUUGUCCAGUGAGAAAAAAUGGCUCUCAAAACAGUAGCUAACUAUUUAGUGUUGUUUGUGACUUUUUGCCUACCAUUCUUCUUCUAUCUUUGGCUGUGUUUUCCAUUCCUUUCCUUUGUACAUCAGACACAAUCAAGAAUAGCAGCUGAACUGCUUCUAUGCAUGGUCAGAAAAAGCAAAGAAGCAGCAAAUACAGCUAUUCAAGCAAGUUAAGGUUUUGUGAAAUCUCAGAGACCAAUGGCCAUCAAGUGUUUGAUAAAAUAUCUGUGUGAAACUUGGGAUAGCAGAGCAAACAUGGAGAGAAUGAUCGCACAGGGACCAAAGGGGACGUUGUUGACACCAUUAACGGUGAUUUUGGCAAGUGAAUUUAUUCUGGGAAUGAUGGAUCUAAGAUGAACUUGGCUAAUGCGGUGGCUUAUUCUCUCCUACGAGUGCUAAUGGGCUUGUCAAGAGUAUUGGAGCUGGUGGAGUUGAGAACAGAAGUCAGCAAACUUUUGUAGGUUUUGGGGUUGGAAAAGAAAUUAUCCCUCAGUCAUCUAAGCUAGCUCAAGAGAAGAAGCCCUAGGUUUCUACUGCUAAUGGUCAUGCUACAGCCCUUGCUGCUAAGUAAAUUUUUCUCCUUUCCUCUGCUGCUUAACAUCAUAGGAAAUAAAUAAACUCUUAAAUUUUUGUUAAUUUCUAGUUCACUGUGUUUUGUUGGAGUAACAAAAAGAAACGUUUAUGUAUUGUUGAUAACAAGAGCCUAAGAGGCAAAAUUGCUGAAAUGAUAACUAGAACCACUGUUGUCCAAUUAAUUUCUUUAAUAAUCUUAUUUCAUUAUUUAAAGGACAGUCUUUAUGAACUCAUUAUGAUUCGAAUUGAAAUUCAUAUUCUUAUGGUGAAGGCUUGAACUUAAUAGUAUCCUAUAAUAACACCCAUUGCUUUAAAGACAUAGAACUUGCAUGUUUAACCAUGGCUUUGGUACAUGUUGACUUAAGACUUCCGAGUUUCAAUUUAGUUUUGCUAAAAAUGUCAAGUUUUGGUUGAUUUUUUCUUAGAAACUUUUGGCUUAAGACCCAAAAAUCUAUCCAUGUUGAGAUAGAAUGUACCAUUAGAUGCCCAACAUGCAAGGAAGAAACUGGAGUUGAAGCGAGGUAAUGGCAAAAUAUGAUAGGUGUCGCUUGGGAUUUGUGGUAAAUGAUGUAACAGGAUCUUUACAUGCUGUAAUUUUCAGUCCAUAUGCUUAGAAAUUGUUAUCAUAUACUGCUUUUCAUCUAGCCAGCUGAUGACCAAGUAAGUUCAACUCCAUGAGCUAUAACUUGAUGAGUUGUUGCAUAAUGAUGAGUACAACUUGAUAAAUGCGCUUAAAUGCUCUUAGAAGAACAAUUGUAGGAAAGGAUUGAAAUAUUAUACUAAAAAGUCAUAUUUUUCCUUAAAGAAUUAAUGAGGCUUUGUUCAACUUAUUUGAUCCAUUUUAUAGCUUUAAGUUUUGCUUAUUGGAUUAAUUCUUUUGUAUGACAUUUUAUCAUAAGUUUACCCUUACAAAUUCACGUAUAGCUUUUGAUCUUGACUCUUGAGAUAUCCUAAAGCCUUAUAAGAGCAUUCUUUUGGUCAGUUGGAAAUAAUUGAAAAAGAUAAGCUAUCUCAGUUAUGGCGUUGGCUUAUAAAUUUCUACUAUUUGGUUUUUGAAUGAGGCUGCCAUAAAAAAAAUGACUCUGUAUGCUUUAAUAAGUUAUUUGUAUCUAACGUAUCUGCUUAUCUGUUAAAAUUUUAGAAUGUUGCCUUAGUUUUGGAUUGUAAAAAGCCAUAUUGCUUCGCAGUUGGAAAUUGCACAGUCAACAUGUAAUUGUUGAUUAAAUAUUUCAAACAAAUAUUUCGAACAAAGUUCACUAAUGAAAUUAAGGAUGCUACACAUUUUGCUAAACUAGCCUCUCAUGUUGAGGGGGUUACAAUGGUUUUUUCAUCCAUGCUUUUAAUCUGGAAAAUCCAAGGACAAAAGGACAAGGAAAAACAACACUAUCAAAGCAUACGCUACUGAGGUUGGAGGUCAAAUUUCGACAGCAAUCCCAAAUGAAAUCACAAAAGAUGUUCCCAAAUUUCAUAUCAAUGCUCAAGAUCCUUUAUGAUGGCGUUCUCAUAAAGAACUUGAUGGAGUAAAUGCAAGUUAGCAAUCUAAUUAGUGGGCAGUCAGUAUUUCAAUUUAUAGUUGUCUAGGAUAUAGCACUACUAAAAAGUUUAUGACAGUCUGCUGAAUUACUUGGUAGUGGGAAAGUAGAAAAGAUGUUAAUAUUGAACCAGUGCUCAAUUUCUAAACUCUGUUAUUUUACUCAAAUGAUGAAUUUGUAUGCUUAAUUCUUCUUUCUCCCUUUUAUUAAUCUUCUAACUUCCUUUAAACAAUUUUCUUCUUACAGAUUCGGAUGAUUGCAGCUCUCAGCUCCAUUAGUUUUUAGCAUAUAUAAUAGAACCAAUCAUUAUAGCAUUUUUUUUCCUUUUUGGCUUUGGAUUCUUGAAAAAAUUACUGUUGAGAUUUUAAGUAGGAUAUAAAUUAUGUCAAUAUUUUGAAACUACAAAAUUGAAAUACAAUUCUAGAAUUUUACCUAAAUGAAAAAUGUAUUUAUGAACUAUAAUUAUGAUCUAUUAAUUUUUAAUCCAAAAUUCAAGAGAUCAUGAUACACAGAAAAUGGUACAUUAAAUGUUAUACAAUUGAACUAACAUUGCCACUUAAUAUAUUCCAAGGAAAGGGACUCUUGUGCUUUCUUAAGAAAGCAACUCCAAGAGAAAAAACAAUUAAAGGAACAGCUUUUGCCAUUAUCACAAGCUAUGAAGUUGAACAAGUCCUAGCUGGCCAGCAGACUUAAAUGAACCUUCACAAUGAUUAUGCAUAAAAUUAGUUUCCAACAAUGUAAUGCUUAUGUGCUUCAGAACUGAACUACUUGUGUUUUAAUUUAAUUAUCUUGUAUCUAUUUA
Molecule: long non-coding RNA, 3042 nt
Organism: Coffea arabica (coffee)
Lineage: Eukaryota; Viridiplantae; Streptophyta; Magnoliopsida; Gentianales; Rubiaceae
Source: RefSeq, a predicted model, not a curated record